AUGAACAAUUAAGCUGACUUUCCUCAUGGGAGCCUGCUGUGCAAUGGUUGAAAACUGGCAGGCUCCUUGGGGGUGAAUUCACUGUUACCUAUAUGGAUUGCCCGAAGGGAACUUGGAGACAAUU
Molecule: small nucleolar RNA, 124 nt
Organism: Rattus norvegicus (Norway rat)
Lineage: Eukaryota; Metazoa; Chordata; Mammalia; Rodentia; Muridae
Product: small nucleolar RNA SNORA70
Source: Ensembl